CCUACGGGAGGCAGCAGUGAGGAAUAUUGGUCAAUGGACGCAACUCUGAACCAGCCACGCCGCGUGCAGGAAGACGGCUCUAUGAGUUGUACACUGCUUUCGUACGAGGGUAAAUCCCGAUACGUGUAUCGGGUUGACAGUCUAGUACGAAUAAGGAUCGGCUAACUCCGUGCCAGCAGCCGCGGUAAUACGGAGGAUUCAAGCGUUAUCCGGAUUUAGUGGGUUUAAAGGGUGCGUAGGCUGUUUGAUAGGUUAGAGGUGAAAGCCCGGGGCUGAACGCCGGCACUGCCUCUGAUACUGUCGGGCUAGAGUGUAGUAGCGGUAGGCGGAAUGUAUGGUGUAGCGGUGAAAUGCAUAGAGAUCA
Molecule: ribosomal RNA, 364 nt
Filed under: uncultured bacterium
Lineage: Bacteria
Description: partial 16S ribosomal RNA
Rfam family: Bacterial small subunit ribosomal RNA
Source: RNAcentral